This is a non-coding RNA of Oryzias latipes (Japanese medaka), 1936 nucleotides long. The record is from RefSeq and is a predicted model, not a curated record. NCBI's taxonomy places the organism in Eukaryota, Metazoa, Chordata, Actinopteri, Beloniformes, Adrianichthyidae.
CAGCAAGUGAGUGGCAGGGUUAUCAUUGGUACAUCCGAGGAUUGUCAGGGGAUGAAGGAUGGGGAUCUAUAUUUAGAUCCACAGCAGAAUCAUCUUGGAAGAAAGGUACCUUUGGUUGGACAUCCCAGGCUCAACAGUGGUCCAGAAUAAUUUCUAAUUUUACUGUUUCAGAUUUGUUUUUCACUUUCCGUGUUAACAGUACUGGUCAACCUUUCCUUUUAUCCCCAACAAUACACAGUCUGAUGGAAAAUUGACAGUGGCUAUUGAAGGUAUGCGCACAUUUGUAACACUCAGCAUUAAAUGAGAGUAUUUACAAAAAAAUUAAUCAGGGAUCUACUUCUUUAUCUGAAUGUGCUUGAUUCCUUUUCUCCAUUUAUUCAAAACAACUCCAACACAAUGAGGUUUCCCAGGUAAUGGUGGUAUAUUGAAAUAUACACAUAUACUUACAACUUCACCUUUAGAAGAAACCACCACCCAACUACACCGUCUUUUUCUUAUUUACACAGUACUUUAAAGUUUCUAAAGUUUCUUUGGCGUCUUUUGUCCCUCUGGACAAAGCAGUCUCAAAGAUAGUGGGGCCUGUGAUGCUCCGUUCGCCUUCUGAUGGUCAACGACUUCUUACCGGAUCAGCUGUGAUGGAAAUCGUGAGACUUUCUGUUGAAGGAAGACCUUAGGAAGUGUGGCAGAAAGUUCCGGUAUAUUCCUCAGCUUUUUUAAUCCAUAGAACCAUCCGUUGCUUUAAUCCAUCCUUCAAGCGGCAGUCAAACAUCACCCCAGCCAGUUUGUUUCCCCUUCCUCCUGCUUGGCUCCAUCUUUCUCUCUUUUCUGCUGUCAUUAGCUGUCAUCAGCCACACACCUGAGUGACCGGAAGUCACCAGCAGGAAGUCUCUUGGCCGCCAUAUUUGUAGUCCACAAAAACAUAAUCCAAAACCAAAUACAAAUCAAACUAUUAUAAUGUGCUCACCUGGAAACUUAAUGACAUACUGGACCAUUAAUAUUGGUGGAUAAUUUGGAAAGUAUUUUUUUUUCCCAACAGCGAAAUGAAAAUCCUAUAUUUGUGUGGCAAUGCUACACAUUGAAUAACAAAAUGAAGGAACAUUAAGGUGUAGAAACAUCUAUGUGGGAUGACUGGCUGAAAAUGUUUGGUCCAUGGAAAACUUUAGUCUCCUCCGUUCUCGUUGCAGUAGCAGUUUUUUCAGCGAUUCUCACACUCUGUGGUUGUUGUUGUAUUCCCUGCCUUAGGACCCUUAUGACACGCCUCAUAGAGCAGGCUCUGGGAGAAAAGGUUCGGGAGUACGGACAGUAUACAAUGUUACCUGUCAGUGAUCCCUUUUCACCACCUUGGUUGGGAAAUCAGUCUGUGAGUUUGUUCUGUUUAACCUAUCUCCAUUAUUUCCCUUAAUUCUAGGUGUUUUCUUUUCUUGAUAGGAAGUGUUAUCUUUGUUGUAUUUUUUACCUUUUUACUUUUAUAUUUUGACUUUUAAAUUUUGAAUUUGACUUUGAAUGUUUUAUUUUUCUGUCUUUACUGUUUCAUGUCUUGUUCUCUGUAAAUGCCAAUGUGCCAAAUAUCUAAUGAAGCAUAAGUAUCUUUAGGGAUGGUCGCCGAUGGGGCACGGGACCGUGGCGAGAAUUUUUCCUGUCCAACUGAACGCUUCUUAAAGAUGGUUAAUGCAAGCUUUGACAGGUUUUCGCUCCUACACUUAUGAAUAGAUCAUCCACACCUUUGAAGUGCACAUUGGUUCGGCUAUAGAUUGUGAGGGCUCGAGACCACAGCUGUUUUGAUUGCAUGAUGUGAUAAUCUGUUUUUAUUUUUUGUGUGACCUCACGAAGUGAGGUCAAGAGAGGGAAACUGAAGGAAUUUAUAUUUUUUUGUGGUCCUUAUUUCUCUUAGGCUUUUUAUCUCAUCUUUAUUUCAUUAAAGGUUUUCUUUCAGGUU